UAAAAGAUCAAACAUUAAAAAUUUCCUUAACAGGGCUGCCUUCAGGUGUCUUCUAAAUCUGAAGGCAGCCCUGUUUAGGGAAAUUUUUAAUGUUUGAUCUUUUA
Podarcis lilfordi (Lilford's wall lizard) is the source of this 104-nucleotide non-coding RNA. Lineage: Eukaryota; Metazoa; Chordata; Lepidosauria; Squamata; Lacertidae. The record is from the annotation of a GenBank genome assembly.